UCCCAAGUGCUGGAAUUAAAGGUGUGCGCCACCAUGCCCGGCUAGUCCUUCCCUCUUGAUAUGGCAGUGUCUUUACGAAGUUCCAUCUUCAGUCCCCAUGGCUGUGGCCUCUGAGGGCAACCAUGACUAAAUUUAAGUCUGGGGUUUAAAACAACAUGAAGUAAUGCCCCAUGGGAAUGGCUUCAUGUCUGCAGUGCUUUGGGGUUUUACAGAACCAAAUUCCUCAGUGGGCAGGUCCAUUUGGAAAGCCUUCCCUUGCCCCACCAGGCCUGUUUCUAUGGUUACAUUGGGAUGAAGAUGGGGCAGGUGGCAUGAUAUUUGACCUUUGCUUCCCCAGGGAGACUCGACAUCUCGACAUUACGCUUGACUUUCCCCAUAGAGAAAUUAGAUGAAUGUCUGCCAGGAAGCAACCCUCAUCCCGUAGCUUCAGAGUCAUCUUUCUCUGAGGGCUGUGGAGCUAUCUAUCCCUUUAAGACCAGUGAGCCUCCUGGGAAAUGGCAGAAAGGAACAGCAAACAGGAAGGGAUUUUCCGCUGCCUAGGAGACCAAGAAGAGGUGGUGCUGACGUCACAGCAAUGCUGAACACUCCAAAAUAGUUUUGUCUAAUUUGAAGGGAAACCGGGCAGCAUCCUCUGACUCUCCGAAGGCUUGGCUACGAAAUAGCCAACUGACCUAUGAUGGCUGAUGAAGCUGACACGGAGAAAACAGGUGCACAUCAUGGAGUACCCAUAGAAGCCAGAAGAGGGCAUCAGAUCCCCUGGAACCUGAGUUACACAUUGAACUGAACUACCACCAGGGAGCUGGGAACCAAAGCCAAGUCCUCUGCAAGAGCAACCAAUGCUCUUAACCAUGAGCUACCUUUCAGCCUCCAGAUGAUGUUGCCUCUGUGACCUCAGCUGUAUGCCCUGAUCCCAUCUGUCUUCCACUUGCUGUUCCCCUCCUAUCCUGGUCUAGCAUUUCUGGGAGCCUAGGAGACAGAACAUGGCUUCCUGAAUCAUGAACUUGACUUUCUCUCCAACUGCUGUGAUUUGCUGGCUUUCUAACCCUGGGCCUGAUGAGUUCUCUCUGAUUCCCCAGUUACCUAAUCACAAGUCUUUAGUGAUUCCCUUGGUUACAAGACUUAAACACCACCAGGCUGGGGUGACAUGACCCCAGUAAUCCUAGUGAUGGUGUGGCAAAAAGUGCCAGAUUUAGCAAAUAAAAAUAUAAGAUGUCAA
Long non-coding RNA from Mus musculus (house mouse), 1216 nucleotides. RefSeq annotates it as predicted gene, 53678. The transcript is spliced from 3 exons. NCBI's taxonomy places the organism in Eukaryota, Metazoa, Chordata, Mammalia, Rodentia, Muridae. The record is from RefSeq and is a predicted model, not a curated record.